ACUGCAUCUGACUGGUUGCUGGCAAUUCUACCUUCCUGGUGGCAGCUGGGCUGCUUGUUUUUCCCUCCAAGAGAUGUGGAAGAGAGCAACAAAAAGCUGGCUUACUCCGACUAGAAGCCCUUGGUUUGGCCGCUGGUAAACUGGAAAUCAAGCUAAACACAUGUGCUGAAUGACCAGGCAAUUCAGCCUCACUCUUGUUCUCUUCUAGAAUUAGAACAGCGAGUUCUUUGGUUCACUCUGAUAGGAAGAGCCCAAAGCACCAGCCAUGUCAAGAAUCCCAAGAUGGCAGAGUUUCUGGACCUAUGGCACAGGCCCUGCUCCCUGGAAUUUUCUUUUCGCAGUCUCCCCAGACACAGCCCAUACCCACACCAGCCACUCUGAAGAGGUUUCCUCAGCCAGCAGGCCCUCUCCCUGUUACCAUGGCAGCAGCCAUUCUGGAGAACAAGAAGCCAAUACAAGGAGAAGACAAAGCCCAGACUGUGUGAUUCCUGUCUGCCCACUGCGGUCAUAGAGUCUCUGACAGAGCUACCCACUUCUGCCACUGAACAUAACAAGCCACAUGUGAACGAGGGUACCAAUCAGACUUUAUGGACACUGAAAUGUGAUGGUCAUGUAAUUUUUAUAUGCCAAGAAAUACUAUUCCUUUGAUUUGUUUUCCAGUCAUUUACAAAUAUAAACACCAGCCUUAGCAUUCAGGCUAUAGCAAAACAGGCAGCUGGCCAAACCUGGCCCUCCGGCCAGAGCUUGAUGACUCUGAUAUAUAGAGAGACAUUAUCAGAGUUAAUGAAUUAGUCAUUAUAAAAGGUUCUUCUCUUUUUUUGGAAUGAAUAUUUUUACAGAUGAAAAAGCAGGAGUAAGUAUAUACACACGUAUUAAA
This is a long non-coding RNA of Bos taurus (domestic cattle), 877 nucleotides long. Lineage: Eukaryota; Metazoa; Chordata; Mammalia; Artiodactyla; Bovidae. The record is from Ensembl.